This is a long non-coding RNA of Drosophila persimilis, 338 nucleotides long. RefSeq lists it as uncharacterized. The record is from RefSeq and is a predicted model, not a curated record. NCBI's taxonomy places the organism in Eukaryota, Metazoa, Arthropoda, Insecta, Diptera, Drosophilidae. The transcript is spliced from 2 exons.
UUUUAACGUUCCUUUUGAGCGCGGGUAUUCCUCUCUCGAACUGUCAAUAUAAGUAUAUAAGUUGCAGGAUGAAAACAGGAUACUGUGCCGAGACUUGUCCAAAAAAAUGGGGUGCUAUAAAUAUGAUAUAUGAGUGUGUGGAAGACUGGAGUAAUCCCUUAAUGUGUUACGUAAACCAAUCUCCAAUCUAAGCGUAGCUCUAGGAUGUUGAAGCUUUUAUUUUGAGCCUGCAAAGUUCAUUUUCAUACGCCUGUAGUACCUAGUUAAAACCGACAAAUCAAGGAACGUGUCGGAUCGAUCCUGCCCAGAAAAUAAACAUACUUAACUUAAACAUUAAA